RNAcentral lists this ribosomal RNA (450 nucleotides) under uncultured bacterium. RNAcentral describes it as "partial 16S ribosomal RNA". It matches the Rfam family "Bacterial small subunit ribosomal RNA", at positions 338 to 795 of the family's 1533-position model. The record is from RNAcentral.
CCUACGGGUGGCUGCAGUAAGGAAUAUUGGUCAAUGGAGGAAACUCUGAACCAGCCAUCCCGCGUGAAGGAUGAAGGGGCUCUGCCUUGUAAACUUCUUUUGUCUGGGGCGAAAAAGCUCGAUUUAUCGAGAACUGACGGUACCAGAAGAAUAAGCACCGGCUAACUCCGUGCCAGCAGCCGCGGUAAUACGGAGGGUGCAGGCGUUACCCGGAAUCACUGGUGUGUAGGCGUCUGUAGGCGGCUGUGGAGAAAGGCUGUGGCUUAACCAUGGAAUUGCCAUUGAUACUGCAGAGCUGGAAUGAGGUUGAGGUUGGCGGAAUGUGACAUGUAGCGGUGAAAUGCUUAGAUAUGUCAUGGAACACCAAUUGCGAAGGCAGCUGACUGGACCUAUAUUGACGCUGAGGAACGAAAGCGUGGGGAGCGAACAGGAUUAGAUACCCGUGUAGUC